GUUUGGUGUCGUUCUAAACAUCUUUUUGAGGGCUUCCACUCGGCCUACCCAUGGACAAAGAUUGGGGUUGACAUGGCUUUGGCUCAACCUGCAUGUCGGUAGGAGAUGAGUCGAAGUUGUCAAUACCUUCGCUCGACCUACCCAUCGAUAGGGAGUAGAGUUGACAUGGCUCCCGCUCAACCUAUGUGCUAGUAGGGAACAGGUCGAGAUUGUCGAUGCCUCCGCUCGACCUACCCAUUGGCAGGGAGCAGAGUUGAUGUGGCUCCUGCUCAAUUUGCACACUAGCAGGGAGUGGGCCCAGGUUGUUAAUGCCUCUGCUCGACCUGCUCGUCAGUAGGAAACGGAGUUGAUGUGGCUCUCGCUCAACCUGCAUUCUAGCAAAGAGCGAGCCAAGGUUAUCGAUACCUCAAC
RNAcentral lists this long non-coding RNA (411 nucleotides) under Elaeis guineensis (African oil palm). Its description in RNAcentral is "long non-coding RNA (EGUI_LNC037696)". Lineage: Eukaryota; Viridiplantae; Streptophyta; Magnoliopsida; Arecales; Arecaceae. The record is from RNAcentral.